GUAGGUGAACCUGCGGAAGGAUCAUUAAUGAGAGGGGUCUCUUCGACCCCGGGAGCUUCGGCGCCCAACUCUUCACCCCUUGCUCAUAUACACCUAUUGCUUUGGCGGGCUCUGGGGCUUACCCCCGCCGGCUCACGCUGGUGCUUGCCCGUCAGAGGCCUAGCGAACUUCGUCUAUUAGUGUCGUCCGAGCAUAAAUACAAUAGUAAAAACUUUCAACAACGGAUCUCUUGGUUCUGGCAUCGAUGAAG
This 250-nucleotide unclassified non-coding RNA is filed under the name plant metagenome. RNAcentral describes it as "partial contains small subunit ribosomal RNA, internal transcribed spacer 1, and 5.8S ribosomal RNA". The record is from RNAcentral.